RNAcentral lists this microRNA (24 nucleotides) under Glycine max (soybean). Its description in RNAcentral is "gma-miR4387c". The record is from miRBase by way of RNAcentral. Lineage: Eukaryota; Viridiplantae; Streptophyta; Magnoliopsida; Fabales; Fabaceae.
AGCGUGAUGACGUGACACUCCGUC